UACGUAGGGGGCAAGCGUUGUCCGGAAUCAUUGGGCGUAAAGAGCGUGUAGGCGGCCCGGUAAGUCCGCUGUGAAAGUCCAGGGCUCAACCCUGGGAUGCCGGUGGAUACUGUCGGGCUCGAGUCCGGAAGAGGAGUGUGGAAUUCCUGGUGUAGCGGUGAAAUGCGCAGAUAUCAGGAGGAACACCAACGGCGAAGGCAGCUCGCUGGGACGGUACUGACGCUGAGACGCGAAAGCGUGGGGAGCGAACAGG
This 253-nucleotide ribosomal RNA is filed under the name uncultured bacterium. RNAcentral describes it as "partial 16S ribosomal RNA". It matches the Rfam family "Bacterial small subunit ribosomal RNA", at positions 524 to 776 of the family's 1533-position model. The record is from RNAcentral.